GCUGGGUGUGGUGGCUCACACCUGUCAUCCCAGCACUUCGGGAGGCUGAGGCGGGUGGAUCACCUGAGGUCAGGACUUUGAGACCAGCCUGGCCAACAUGGUGAAAACCCGUCUCUA
Callithrix jacchus (white-tufted-ear marmoset) is the source of this 117-nucleotide unclassified non-coding RNA. It matches the Rfam family "Metazoan signal recognition particle RNA". Rfam says of the family: The signal recognition particle (SRP) is a universally conserved ribonucleoprotein. It is involved in the co-translational targeting of proteins to membranes. The eukaryotic SRP consists of a 300-nucleotide 7S RNA and six proteins: SRPs 72, 68, 54, 19, 14, and 9. The record is from Ensembl. Lineage: Eukaryota; Metazoa; Chordata; Mammalia; Primates; Cebidae.